This 109-nucleotide ribosomal RNA is filed under the name Alligator mississippiensis (American alligator). Lineage: Eukaryota; Metazoa; Chordata; Crocodylia; Alligatoridae. The record is from RNAcentral.
GUCUGCAGUCACACUGCCCUGAACAUACUUGAUCCCAUCUGCUCUCAGAAAUUAAGCGGGGUUAGUACUUGGCUGGGAGACUGCCUGGGAAUCCCAGGUGCUGUAAGCU